GAGUUUGAUCGUGGCUCAGAUUGAACGCUGGCGGCAUGCCUUACACAUGCAAGUCGAACGGCAGCACGGGAGCUUGCUCCUGGUGGCGAGUGGCGAACGGGUGAGUAAUGCAUCGGAACGUAUCCUGGAGUGGGGGAUAACGUAGCGAAAGUUACGCUAAUACCGCAUAUUCUGUGAGCAGGAAAGCGGGGGACCUUCGGGCCUCGCGCUCUUGGAGCGGCCGAUGUCGGAUUAGCUAGUUGGUGAGGUAAAGGCUCACCAAGGCGACGAUCCGUAGCAGGUCUGAGAGGAUGAUCUGCCACACUGGAACUGAGACACGGUCCAGACUCCUACGGGAGGCAGCAGUGGGAAUUUUGGACAAUGGGGGCAACCCUGAUCCAGCCAUGCCGCGU
RNAcentral lists this ribosomal RNA (392 nucleotides) under bacterium enrichment culture clone ALO1_GLFRUDD03F2D05. Its description in RNAcentral is "bacterial SSU rRNA". It matches the Rfam family "Bacterial small subunit ribosomal RNA", at positions 9 to 402 of the family's 1533-position model. The record is from RNAcentral.